Molecule: ribosomal RNA, 2916 nt
Filed under: Campylobacterota bacterium
Lineage: Bacteria; Pseudomonadati; Campylobacterota
Description: 23S ribosomal RNA
Rfam family: Bacterial large subunit ribosomal RNA
Source: RNAcentral
AAGCUACAAAGAGCAGAUGGUGGAUGCCUUGGCUAACGAAGGCGAUGAAGGACGCACUAGGCUGCGAUAAGCCUCGGGGAGCCGUCAAGAGGCUUUGAUCCGGGGGUUUCCGAAUGGGGCAACCCGGCAGGUUUUAACGCCUGUCAUCGUAUUUAUACGAAGCGAACCUAGGGAAGUGAAACAUCUCAGUACCUAGAGGAAAAGAAAUCAAACGAGAUUUCCCCAGUAGCGGCGAGCGAAAGGGAAAGAGGGCAAACCAAGUGCUUGCACUUGGGGUUGUAGGACCGCAUUUAGGACUUCAACGGCUAGCUAAACAAUCUGGAAAGAUUGGGCAUAGAGGGUGAUACCCCCGUAAGCGAAAGCCCGCGAAGCCGAGCGGUAUCCUGAGUAGGACGGGACACGAGAAACCCUGUCUGAAGCUGGGAAGACCACUUUCCAACCCUAAAUACUACCGUUAGACCGAUAGCGCACAAGUACCGCGAGGGAAAGGUGAAAAGAACCCCGGCAAGGGGAGUGAAAUAGAACCUGAAACCAUCUGCUUACAAUCAUUUCGAGCCCUAUAGUUUACUAGGGUGAGAGACUGCCUUUUGCAUAAUGAGCCUGCGAGUUGCGUUCGGCGGCAAGGUUAAGGAAAUCCGGAGCCGAAGCGAAAGCGAGUCCGAAUAGGGCGCUUAGUCGCCGGAUGCAGACCCGAAGCGAAGUGAGCUAUCCAUGAUCAGGUUGAAGCGGGCGUAAAAACCCGUGGAGGACCGAACAGACGGCCAUUGAAACGGCUCCUGAUGAAUUGUGGAUAGGGGUGAAAGGCCUAUCAAACUUCGUGAUAGCUGGUUCUCUCCGAAAUAUAUUUAGGUAUAGCCUCAUGAAGCAAGCAUAGGAGGUAGAGCACUGAUUAGGCUAGGGCGGCGUCAAGCUGUACCAAACCUUGUCAAACUUCAAAUGCCUAUGCCCAAGCCAUGGGAGACAGGCGGCGAGUGAUAAAAUCCGUCGCCAAAAGGGCAACAACCCAGACUACCGGCUAAGGUCCCCAAGUCAUCGCUCAGUGGAAAAGGAUGUCGAAUUACUCUGACAACUAGGAGGUUGGCUUAGAAGCAGCCAUCCUUUAAAGAAAGCGUAACAGCUCACUAGUCUAGUGAUUCGGCGCCGAAAAUAUAACGGGGCUAAAGCGAUGCACCGAAACCGUAGAUUUACGCUGAUGCGUAAGUGGUAGGAGAGCGUUGAUAACAGCGUCGAAGGCGUAUCGGUAAGAAGCGCUGGAGCGUUAUCAAGUGAGCAUGCAGGCAUGAGUAGCGAUAAAAGAGGCGAGAAUCCUCUUCGCCGUAAACCCAAGGUUUCCUACGCGAUGCUCGUCAUCGUAGGGUAAGUCGGGUCCUAAGUCGAGUCCGAAAGGGGUAGACGAUGGCAAAUCGGUUAAUAUUCCGAUACCUGCCGUUUUUAGGUUAUGGGGGGACGCAUAGGGUUAAGCGAGGCGGGUGAUGGAAUACCCGUUCGAAGGCUGUAGGUUGGAUCGUAGGCAAAUCCGCGAUCCUUUAUCCGAGAGCUGACAGGCAGGCGAGGCGUUUCGGCGCUGAACCUGAAUCGCUGAUACCGUCGUGCCGAGAAAAGCCUCUAAACCGUUUGAUAAAACGACAGCCCGUACCGUAAACCGACACAGGUGGGUGAGAUGAAUAUUCUAAGGCGCGUGGAAGAACUCUGGUUAAGGAACUCUGCAAACUAACACCGUAUCUUCGGUAUAAGGUGUGCCUAUAUGGUGUAGUCCCUCGCGGAUGAAGCCUACAUAGGCCGCAGAGAAUAGUCCCUCCCGACUGUUUAUCACAAACACAGCACUCUGCUAACUCGUAAGAGGAUGUAUAGGGUGUGACGCCUGCCCGGUGCCGGAAGGUUAAGGGGAUUAGUCAGCCGUAAGGUGAAGCUUUGAACCGAAGCCCCGGUAAACGGCGGCCGUAACUAUAACGGUCCUAAGGUAGCGAAAUUCCUUGUCGGUUAAAUACUGACCUGCAUGAAUGGCGUAACGAGAUGGGAGCUGUCUCAACCAGUGAUCCAGUGAAAUUGUAGUGGAGGUGAAAAUUCCUCCUACCCGCGGAAAGACGGAAAGACCCCGUGGACCUUUACUAUAGCUUGGUAUUGCAUUUGAGAUCAGUCUGUGCAGGAUAGGUGGGAGGCUUUGAGAUAUGGGCGCUAGCUCGUAUUGAGCCGCCGUUGAGAUACCACCCUGACUGGUCUUGGAUGCUAACUCGCAUCGGUUAUCCCGAUGGAGGACACUGCCUGGUGGGUAGUUUGACUGGGGCGGUCGCCUCCCAAAAUGUAACGGAGGCUUACGAAGGUUGGCUCAGUCCGGUUGGAAAUCGGACACAGAGUGUAAUGGCAUAAGCCAGCCUGACUGUGAGAGAGACACCUCGAGCAGAGACGAAAGUCGGUCAUAGUGAUCCGGUGGUUCUGUGUGGAAGGGCCAUCGCUCAAAGGAUAAAAGGUACCCCGGGGAUAACAGGCUGAUCUCCCCCAAGAGCUCACAUCGACGGGGAGGUUUGGCACCUCGAUGUCGGCUCAUCGCAUCCUGGGGCUGUAGCAUGUCCCAAGGGUUUGGCUGUUCGCCAAUUAAAGCGGUACGCGAGCUGGGUUCAGAACGUCGUGAGACAGUUCGGUCCCUAUCUUCCGUGGGCGCAGGAGCGUUGAGGAGAGCUGACUCUAGUACGAGAGGACCGAGUUGGACGCGCCUCUGGUGAACCGGUUGUCCUGCCAAGGGCACCGCCGGGUAGCUAAGCGCGGAACGGAUAACCGCUGAAAGCAUAUAAGCGGGAAGCCGACUCCAAGAUGAACGCUCCCUGAAGGUCGCAGAUAGACUAUCUGCUUGAUAGGUCAGGGGUGUAAGCGCAGUAAUGCGUUCAGCCGACUGAUACUAAUCGACCGUUCGGCUUUUUU